AUGAACGCUGGCGGCGUGCUUAACACAUGCAAGUCGAGCGAAGCACUAAAGCGGAUUUCUUCGGAUUGAAGGUUUAGUGACUGAGCGGCGGACGGGUGAGUAACGCGUGGGUAACCUGCCUCAUACAGGGGGAUAACAGUUGGAAACGGCUGCUAAUACCGCAUAAGCGCACAGUACCGCAUGGUACGGUGUGAAAAACUCCGGUGGUAUGAGAUGGACCCGCGUCUGAUUAGGUAGUUGGUGGGGUAACGGCCUACCAAGCCGACGAUCAGUAGCCGACCUGAGAGGGUGACCGGCCACAUUGGGACUGAGACACGGCCCAAACUCCUACGGGAGGCAGCAGUGGGGAAUAUUGCACAAUGGGGGAAACCCUGAUGCAGCGACGCCGCGUGAGCGAAGAAGUAUUUCGGUAUGUAAAGCUCUAUCAGCAGGGAAGAAAA
RNAcentral lists this ribosomal RNA (440 nucleotides) under uncultured bacterium. RNAcentral's name for it is "bacterial SSU rRNA". It matches the Rfam family "Bacterial small subunit ribosomal RNA", at positions 29 to 451 of the family's 1533-position model. The record is from RNAcentral.